UGGGGAAUUUUGGACAAUGGGCGAAAGCCUGAUCCAGCAAUGCCGCGUGUGUGAAGAAGGCCUUCGGGUUGUAAAGCACUUUUGUCCGGAAAGAAAUCCUUGGCUCUAAUACAGUCGGGGGAUGACGGUACCGGAAGAAUAAGCACCGGCUAACUACGUGCCAGCAGCCGCGGUAAUACGUAGGGUGCAAGCGUUAAUCGGAAUUACUGGGCGUAAAGCGUGCGCAGGCGGUUUGCUAAGACCGAUGUGAAAUCCCCGGGCUCAACCUGGGAACUGCAUUGGUGACUGGCAGGCUAGAGUAUGGCAGAGGGGGGUAGAAUUCCACGUGUAGCAGUGAAAUGCGUAGAGAUGUGGAGGAAUACCGAUGGCGAAGGCAGCCCCCUGGGCCAAUACUGACGCUCAUGCACGAAAGCGUGGGGAGCAAACAGGAUUAGAUACCCUGGUAGUCCACGCCCUAAACGAUGUCAACUAGUUGUUGGGGAUUCAUUUCCUUAGUAACGUAGCUAACGCGUGAAGUUGACCGCCUGGGGAGUGCGGUCGCAAGAUUAAAACUUAAUGAAUUGACGGGGUCAUAGCUGUUUCCU
Molecule: ribosomal RNA, 584 nt
Filed under: uncultured bacterium
Lineage: Bacteria
Description: partial 16S ribosomal RNA
Rfam family: Bacterial small subunit ribosomal RNA
Source: RNAcentral